CCUACGGGAGGCAGCAGUAGGGAAUUUUCCGCAAUGGGCGAAAGCCUGACGGAGCAAUACCGCGUGAGGGAUGACGGCCUGUGGGUUGUAAACCUCUUUUCUCAAGGAAGAAGUUCUGACGGUACUUGAGGAAUAAGCAUCGGCUAACUCUGUGCCAGCAGCCGCGGUAAUACAGAGGAUGCAAGCGUUAUCCGGAAUCACUGGGCAUAAAGCGUCUGUAGGUCGUUUAGUAAGUCUGCUGUUAAAGACUGGGGCUUAACCCCAGAAAAGCAGUGGAAACUGCUAGACUCGAGUGUGGUAGAGGUAGAGGGAAUUCCUAGUGUAGCGGUGAAAUGCGUAGAUAUUGGGAAGAACACCAAUGGCGAAGGCACUCUACUGGGCCAUAACUGACACUGAGAGACGACAGCUAGGGGAGCAAACGGGAUUAGAUACCCCGGUAGUCCUAGCCGUAAACGAUGGAUACUAGAUGUUGCACGUAUUAACCCGUGCAGUAUCGUAGCUAAGGCGUUAAGUAUCCCGCCUGGGAAGUACGCUCGCAAGAGUGAAACUCAAAUGAAUUGACGG
This 564-nucleotide ribosomal RNA is filed under the name uncultured bacterium. RNAcentral's name for it is "bacterial SSU rRNA". It matches the Rfam family "Bacterial small subunit ribosomal RNA", at positions 338 to 916 of the family's 1533-position model. The record is from RNAcentral.